RNAcentral lists this ribosomal RNA (449 nucleotides) under uncultured bacterium. RNAcentral describes it as "partial 16S ribosomal RNA". It matches the Rfam family "Bacterial small subunit ribosomal RNA", at positions 354 to 796 of the family's 1533-position model. The record is from RNAcentral.
GUCGAGAAUCAUUCACAAUGGGGGAAACCCUGAUGGUGUGACGCCGCGUGGAGGAUGAAGGUCUUCGGAUUGUAAACUCCUGUCAUGUGGGAGUAAAGCCGGGUGUUAAAUGCAUGCCGGUCUGAGAGUACCACAAGAGGAAGGGACGGCUAACUCUGUGCCAGCAGCCGCGGUAAUACAGAGGUCCCAAGCGUUGUUCGGAAUCACUGGGCGUAAAGGGUGCGUAGGCGGCGCGGAAAGUCAGGGGUGAAAUCCCGGAGCUCAACUCCGGAACUGCCUUUGAUACUCCCGCGCUUGAGAACUGGAGGGGAGACCGGAAUUCACGGUGGAGCAGUGAAAUGCGUGGAUAUCGUGAGGAACACUAGUGGCGAAGGCGGGUCUCUGGACAGUAUCUGACGCUGAGGCACGAAGGCCAGGGGAGCGAACGGGAUUAGAAACCCCGGUAGUCC